ACCUCUUUCCGGUAUCGAAUCCCGCGUCGGACGACGUCCCGUUCGGGUGCCGGCUCCGGGCGGCAGAAGCUCGGCUCUGGUCGGCCCGCGGACUUGGUGCAGGGCCCGAGCCACGCGGCCUAUUCAUUUUCCAGCUCCACCCGUUCUAGAGCGCUUCUGAGAGCCACACGGAGCGGCCUUGUGGCUCCCGAGGCCCCCGGGUUGGCCAUUCCCGAUGUCCUGGGCAGGGCAGUUACCAGGGGGUUGGGCUAGGCCUCCCCCUGCUGAUUUUCCUUUCCCAAGGGCACCCAGCCCUGCCCCAGACCAGGCAGGGUCACAGGGGUGGGGAGUGCGGUUUUGGGGAAGGGUGUGGGCUACUGCAGAGGGGAGCUCCUAGAGCGCCUCCAAGGGGUGACAGGAGGGUGUCUGGUGUUUGUGCAUUGUCUCCUGGGCCCCAGGAAGCUCUUCUGCACAGGCUCCCAUCACCCAGUGGGGGGAGGGGUGCUAGGCAAUAGCCUCUCUGUGCACACCUUUCCCUUGGUGACCUCCACCUCAGGCCUGCGGGCUCUCUGUCCCCAGAGCCAGGCUUCCAGCAGUGACCAUGCCAGUGGAGGGCCACAGCUCCAGGCCGCCUCCCCUUCCCUGUCCGCCAGGCCCCAAGUGUGGCCGCUCUCUGCUCCUGGCCCUCCUCUCCUGCCCUCCACAGCCCUGCCCAAGGGGCCGCCCUCUCUGGCUCAGACCCCUGCACGGGCCCCACUAGGGUCUCCCCCUCCUGCUUUUGCCAGGAGAACCUUCCAGCAAGCAAUCUGGCGCUCUCUGCGCUGCCCAAAGCCCCUCCGAGGCAGCCCCUUCCUCACACCCCAGGGCAGGACCCCUGGCGGGAGGCUGGUCAACCACAUUCCCUGCCACACCCUUCUGUCGUGUUUCCUCUGUACCGUCCCCCACUCUAGGUCAACCCACCCAGCUGUUGGGGGCUGGCUCCUGUGCGGCCGCCCCACCCCUGCAGCCUGCGUCAGCUGCCCCCUGUCCAGGGGCCAGGUGGGAAUGUCCCCAUCGCGGGCACCAGCACAGUCUCUUGCUCCAAAGGGGCUGCCCCUUUCUAGAGCCGGGGUUCAGGUUCUGGAGGGGAUGGAAUGUCCCUUGUUCAGCAAGGCUGUCCCUGACACCCCCAGUCUCACCGCCCCUCAUCCUAGUCGCCCUCUGUUGGUACCCUGUUCCGGCUUCCCUCCUUCUCCACUGCUGUCUGAAAUUACCUGCUGUUAAUGUCUGCUUUCUCCACCCCACCCCCCCAAGAUUUCUCAGGGCAGGGAUUUUUUUUCUGUCCUGUUCCCUGCUCUGUCCCCAGCCCUGGGACCCAGGCCAGGUCCCUAAUAGAGGAAUGAUGAGUGUUUGUUGAUUGACUAACAGAUUCCCUCAGGGCAGGGACCUUUCUCAAGUUAAUGCCCAGAAAAGUGUGGGGCACAAAAGAGGUACUGAGGAAGAGGAAGACGUGGUCACACAGCACAUGAAUAUGGCAAAUUGGCUUUUAGAAAUUCUUCACAGUUGUUAAACACUAUUUGGUUUUCUGGCUUUUUCUGCCCCUUCCAGAUGUCGUUGGGGAGAGUUGAGGUUUGCUGCCACAGGGUCAGGACAGCUGGGUCUGGGCUCUCCUCUCCACUUUCCAAGGGGCUCCCCAGACCCCCAAAAGGAGUGAUGAGCCCCAAGAUAAUCCUGCAGCCACCAGCUGAACACCCCUCCCCCCAUAGCACACUGCAGUGCUCAGAGCCAGGUGCUCCGGGGAGCUCCGGCGGCAACAGGCUGGCGUGUGGUGUCGGGGCUAAUAUUUUAUGCAUGGAACUGACUAAAUGGGGACAUUUGGAGAUGAAAAUUGCUGUUAAUGCAUCCACACAUCUUUGGAAUAUAUUAAAUGUUUGUAGGGGGUGGGAGGCGACAUUAGCCUUAUUUAAUAGCUCCAAUGUAACCAUCCCCACACCCCAGCUUGAAGAGCCUGGGUGCCCCCCAGGCCGCCGCUUGGGGGACGCAUUGGGUAGAUCAGCCACCGCUUGAGAAUUAUGCAUGAGACAAAAUGUGAGCCUGGCGUACCAGGCGUUCAGCGGCAUAUGUUCCAAACUCAUUUUAGACCCAAAGACGGUGACCCCAUGCUGCUUGGUGCAGAAUUUCAUUAAAAGCCAAAUUACUGGUUUAUCUAUUGUUUGAGCAGAAGAGAGAAUAAACAAAGGGCCAAAUGAAAAUGUCUGUCCCCGCAGCGGCUGGGAUGACAGUCGCUGUGGACCCUCCGGCCAAAGGGUCAGUGACUUGGGCUCGUCUCCAAGGUGCUGUGUUAACCCAGUCGUGGGUCUGAGCCCACGGGGCACCUGCUGUCUCCUGGGGCCCAUAGGGGCAAGGACCCCGGCUCCCCCAUCGGUCUCCCGGAUGCAAUCCCGCGAAAGCCACUUUGAAAACUGAGGCACUUUAUAGCGUCUGGACCUGUAGUCUCCUCGCCUUACCACUUUUGGGGGGGCUAAGCAGGGAAAUACUAGCCAUCCUGAAUAAGCUUGAGCCCCUGCCUGUCCCUCCGGCUCUAGAAUGUUUUUCUCAUUGCACCCCCCAGCCUGGGGGGGGGGCAGACUCUGUUUUAUGGUGAGGGUGUGGGGCACAGAGAGGUGGAGAGACUCCUUCGAGACCACACAGCGGGCACUCCGCCAGCUGAAAGUCACAGGCCUGUAGAACGGUCCCCGGCCCAAAUUCUCUGCAUGACGAGGUGGGCCUCCUCUCCGAACACUCAGCUUGCCAUACUUCCAGAGGGAUUUUCCCUGCGCCCACCUGGCAUCUCUCCAGGGUGGUGCCAACCCCACGAAAUGGGAUGCUUGCAGCUGGGUGCGAGUCCCGUGGCCCCCAGCUCCUGUCUGGCCCGCGGAGAGGGCUGCCUGCUCUGUCAGAAGACCCAGGGCCCAGGGGAGAGCUAAGUACCGAAGACCCCCUUUGACUCAUGUCUCUCACUGCCACCCUGGAGCGCAUUUGCGGGUUGUGUGUGGGUCUAGUCAGGACAGCUGGCAAGCAAGAGCGGGGAGCUCAGGCAAGCCGGCAGGUCUCGACGGGCAGGGCCAGGCACCAGCCCCGCUCCCCCAGCCUCCCCCCUUGUCCUGCUCGGGCACUGCCCUUAUUUGUGUCCCACCCCGCACAAAGUUCAGGGUCAGGACCCACCUCUGGCAAAUAAGUAGUUUCCUUUGCAAAACUGGGGUGACCCAGCACCCCAAGGCUGCAGAAAUACCAAGCGGGAUUCAAUACCUCCAUACCUGGGGGAGUGAUGCUGCUACCCUGGCAUGGAGCUUCUAGAAGCCAGGACCUUGAGCCUGCAGUGUUGGCUCUCAGGAGGUGCUCCGUCAAUGCCUGGGUCUAGGCUGGCCACAGACACCAGUGCAAGGAGGGUGUGCAACACGCGAGGGUGUACUGGAAUCAGAUCUCUUUGCUGCCGGGAGGAAGCACACAGGAGGGGCUGGGAGGACGUUUGUGGAAUGAAUAAAUAAAACCAUGCUCUUUGAGGGAAUAAAGAAGCAGAGAGAAAAAGGAGAAUCUGGGGAAGAUGGACAUCAAUCUCCACCAAGCGCCACCAAGAUUUUGCAGCCAAGGCGGCAGAAAAAACCCCGUGGAGGCAAAGGGGCCGUAUGUCACGGGCGGGGACCAGGAAGCAAGGGUGCGAUGGAGGCUCGUUCGUCAUUUUCCCAUUAGCCCCACGAUGUCGGAGGGGAGCCUGCGCCCGUGUAGCUGUGCUAUCCCCCUGGCAGAGCACACGGGACGGAGCAUUCGGCAGGUGCCCAGUAUGUGGAACCUUUGGUCGAUCGCAGCCAGAAGCCAAGGGCUGGGCCGAAGGCAGCUCACCAGACCACUACCGCCCCAGAGAUGUGGGCUGUGAGCCAGGGAUCCCGGGCUGACCCUAGGGGCAUUCCUUGGGUCAGGGGCCUCUGCUGUCGGUGAAGCCGCCCCGGAACAUCAACAUCUUCCUCCCCGCACUCGUCUGCCUCACAGGACUCCUAGAAGGUCCUGCUCUUGGAGAAGACCCAUGGCACCCAUGCUUCAGCGGACAGAUGCACAGACACACAGCCUGCCCCACCAGCGCCCUCUCCUGCCUCCCCCAGGAAGAAGGGGAGGUCGUGCACUCCCCACCCUUUAAAGGACCCCGAGUGGGAGGGCGGGGGUCGGCGGAUCCAUCGGGGACAGGCCUGCACUGUGGACUGGGGAGGCCUGGGUGGGCCUGCAGAGAACUGGGAGUGGCAAUGAACUCAAACCAGAGCCAAAGACCCCAGCCCCCUCCCCCCCCAGGGGCUCAGGAAUUCCUGCUCUUCCUUUGCAAACACUUGGCAUGUCGUUGGGCUAUU
Ailuropoda melanoleuca (giant panda) is the source of this 4334-nucleotide long non-coding RNA. RefSeq lists it as uncharacterized. The record is from RefSeq and is a predicted model, not a curated record. The transcript is spliced from 3 exons. NCBI's taxonomy places the organism in Eukaryota, Metazoa, Chordata, Mammalia, Carnivora, Ursidae.